RNAcentral lists this long non-coding RNA (199 nucleotides) under Lathyrus oleraceus (garden pea). RNAcentral's name for it is "Pisum sativum (pea) long non-coding RNA (PSAT_LNC025328)". Lineage: Eukaryota; Viridiplantae; Streptophyta; Magnoliopsida; Fabales; Fabaceae. The record is from RNAcentral.
UUAAUUCAGAAAAUGAAAAAGGAAAAUAUUAGAAAGUUUUUGGUGAAAGUCCCAUAUUUUUUUGGAUUAAAAAUAAAAUUAAUAUGAAUUAAUCAAAAUAAAAGGAUUAAAUGAAAAAUCAGAAAAAAAAAUAUAAAUAAAAAAACAAGGGCCAUCAGACCUCCCUCAUUAAUUGAGGUGACAUCUUUGAUGGCCAAGC